GCUACUACCGAUUGAAUGGUUUAGUGGGGACUCCUGAUUGGCGCCGCCGCCCCGGCAACGGAGCAGCGGACUGCCGAAAAGUUGUUCAAACUUGAUCAUUUAGAGGAAGUAAAAGUCGUAACAAGGUUUCUGUAGGUGAACCUGCAGAAGGAUCAAGAUGGGAAGGGCGUCGGGUAGGGUAAGAGUGUAGAUCGUGGUGGUCGACGAAUAAUUAAAAAAAAAAUAAACAACACAACCAUGGAUAAAAGUAAGCAUCUAACAGCAACGCAGAAUA
This 274-nucleotide unclassified non-coding RNA is filed under the name sea anemone metagenome. Its description in RNAcentral is "partial contains small subunit ribosomal RNA and internal transcribed spacer 1". The stretch from base 1 to 158 matches the Rfam family "Eukaryotic small subunit ribosomal RNA", at positions 1678 to 1831 of the family's 1831-position model. The record is from RNAcentral.